This 354-nucleotide long non-coding RNA is filed under the name Hordeum vulgare. RNAcentral's name for it is "long non-coding RNA (HVUL_LNC004479)". Lineage: Eukaryota; Viridiplantae; Streptophyta; Magnoliopsida; Poales; Poaceae. The record is from RNAcentral.
CCCAAUGAUGGAGAAGGACGAAUCCUGGUGGAAUGGACAGUUACGGGCAUGAGGAGUCCAUUCCCGAAGACGAGGGCCUUCUGGGUGGCACGGACGGCGAGCUCCAUGGGCGGCGGCGGAGGGGUUUUUCCGUUCUGCUCCUGACGGAAAAGAAGCGAGCAAGAGGGAGAGGGAUUAGAGGAGGAAGGAGAGGGAAGGAGGGGUCGCGAGGGAGGAGCACGCGGGGGAAUUCGGUCUCACCGGCGUGGUUCGGCAUGAGGCGGAGCGGACGGGAGGCUGCCGGAGUUGACGUCCCUGACGGAAACUGUUGCGUGAAGCAAACAAGAUAGAGAGGCUUCAGAGAAAAUAAAAGAG